RNAcentral lists this small RNA (127 nucleotides) under Marmota monax (woodchuck). The record is from RNAcentral. Lineage: Eukaryota; Metazoa; Chordata; Mammalia; Rodentia; Sciuridae.
GCCAGGCACGGUGGUGCAUGCCUGCAAUUCCAGCAACUUGGGAGGCUAAGGCAGGUGGAUCAUGAGUUCAAAGCUGGCCUCAGCAAUUUACCAUGGCCCUAAGCAACACAGUGAGACCCUGUCUCUA